RNAcentral lists this transfer RNA (122 nucleotides) under Caballeronia sordidicola. Its description in RNAcentral is "tRNA-OTHER". It matches the Rfam family "tRNA". Rfam says of the family: Transfer RNA (tRNA) molecules are approximately 80 nucleotides in length. Their secondary structure includes four short double-helical elements and three loops (D, anti-codon, and T loops). Further hydrogen bonds mediate the characteristic L-shaped molecular structure. tRNAs have two regions of fundamental functional importance: the anti-codon, which is responsible for specific mRNA codon recognition, and the 3' end, to which the tRNAs corresponding amino acid is attached (by aminoacyl-tRNA synthetases). tRNAs cope with the degeneracy of the genetic code in two manners: having more than one tRNA (with a specific anti-codon) for a particular amino acid; and 'wobble' base-pairing, i.e. permitting non-standard base-pairing at the 3rd anti-codon position. The record is from RNAcentral. Lineage: Bacteria; Pseudomonadati; Pseudomonadota; Betaproteobacteria; Burkholderiales; Burkholderiaceae.
ACGGUGUAGCUCAAUGGAUAGAGCGUCGGCGCCCAUACCGCUCGCGAAGAGCGGCAUCGAUGGUUGGUUGGCCCCUUCAUCGUACCGCGUCGAAGAUCUGGGUUCAAAUCCCGGCACCGUUC